CAUUAAGAAGAACAUAAGAAUAAGUAUUUGUUUAUUGUGUGUUGCAGAGGAAAACAGGAAGCGAUUCAAAAACUCUCCACAUUCUUUAUGCAACCUAAGACGCCCUCUCAGCCUCUACCACGAAACAACAGCCCAGUGUAGGCCAUUACUUUAGUUAUUGUCUACUUCCUUUGAAUCCACUAAAGAUCACUUACCGUAAACGAUAAGAUUACAGGAUAGCAACUAAUCUCUACUUCCUCUUUCCUUAUAUGGCUGUUUGUGCAUCAAGAAUACCAGAGCCCACACCAGGUAUGUUUUGACACUCUAAACAUGAAUUACAUAAACAGUCGCAUCUACCCACACUCACUUUUUCUCUCCUACUUCUCCACUUCUGUGUUACCACUUGAAGAGGAUCCUGACAGCUCAAAUAAAGAAGAAGAAGAUUUAGAUGUGUCAGACCUCCAGAUUCUUCCUCCUCCGGACCUGUAUGCCGACAUCACAGCUGGAGACCCCAUGCCUAUUUACAGCAAGUACGUACACUGAACAUCUUGAGUGAUCUUUUGUGACAACAUGCCCCAAUA
RNAcentral lists this long non-coding RNA (560 nucleotides) under Sinocyclocheilus grahami. RNAcentral's name for it is "lncRNA (ENSSGRG00000035147.1)". The record is from RNAcentral. Lineage: Eukaryota; Metazoa; Chordata; Actinopteri; Cypriniformes; Cyprinidae.